This 468-nucleotide ribosomal RNA is filed under the name uncultured bacterium. Its description in RNAcentral is "partial 16S ribosomal RNA". It matches the Rfam family "Bacterial small subunit ribosomal RNA", at positions 28 to 507 of the family's 1533-position model. The record is from RNAcentral.
GACGAACGCUGGCGGCGUGCUUAACACAUGCAAGUCGAACGGAAAGGCCCUGCUUUGGUGGGGUGCUCGAGGGGCGAACGGGUGAGUAACACGUGAGUAACCUGCCCUUGACUGUGGGAUAACUUCAGGAAACUGGGGCUAAUACCGGAUAGGAGCUCCUGCUGCGGGGUGGGGGGGGGAGAGUUUCGGCGGUGGGGGAUGGACUCGCGGCUUAUCAGCUUGUUGGUGGGGUAGUGGCUUACCAAGGCUUUGACGGGUAGCCGGCCUGAGAGGGUGACCGGCCACAUUGGGACUGAGAUACGGCCCAGACUCCUACGGGAGGCAGCAGUGGGGAAUAUUGCACAAUGGGCGGAAGCCUGAUGCAGCAACGCCGCGUGCGGGAUGACGGCCUUCGGGUUGUAAACCGCUUUCGCCUGUGACGAAGCGUGAGUGACGGUAAUGGGUAAAGAAGCACCGGCUAACUACGUG